Molecule: ribosomal RNA, 300 nt
Filed under: uncultured bacterium
Lineage: Bacteria
Description: bacterial SSU rRNA
Rfam family: Bacterial small subunit ribosomal RNA
Source: RNAcentral
CCAGCCUACGGGGCGCAGCAGUGGGGGAUAUUGGACAAUGGGGGAAACCCUGAUCCAGCGAUGCCGCGUGAGGGAAGAAGGUUUUCGGAUUGUAAACCUUUGUGGACAGGGACGAUAAUGACGGUACCUGUCAAGAAAGCCACGGCUAACUACGUGCCAGCAGCAGCGGUAAUACGUAGGUGGCGAGCGUUGUCCGGAAUUACUGGGUGUAAAGGGAGUGUAGGCGGGAAGGCAAGUCAGAAGUGAAAAUUAUGGGCUCAACCCAUAAAGUGCUUUUGAAACUGUUUUUCUUGAGUGGAG